GGGGGCGACCUCAAGGCCCCGGGGGAGUCCCUGCGGCUCCUCUGCCGCGGCUCCGGCUUCACCUUCAGCAGCUACGCCAUGUCCUGGGGGCGGCAGAGCCCCGGGAAGGGGCUGGAAUACGUUGCUGGGAUCAGGAAUGAUGGUGGUUACACCUGGUACGCGCCGUCGGUGCAGGGCCGGUUCACCAUCGCCAGGGACGACGGGCAGAGCUCGGUGACGCUGCAGAUGAACAACCUCAGGGAGGAGGAUUCCGCCACCUAUUUCUGUGCCAAAGCUGCUCACGGCGGCGCCGGGGACGGGGGAGGGCGGGCAAAAACCACCCUCGUUGAGUGGGUGGGUGGAACAGUUGAGUGCGUUGGGUGUCGCGGUUGGGUGGGUCGAUGA
Lepidothrix coronata (blue-crowned manakin) is the source of this 384-nucleotide non-coding RNA. Lineage: Eukaryota; Metazoa; Chordata; Aves; Passeriformes; Pipridae. The record is from the annotation of a RefSeq genome assembly.